CUGGAUGCUCUGGUUUUCUCCCACCCCUCAAAGAGGUGCAUGUUCAGUUCACCGGCAUGUCUACAUGGUCCUGGUGUGAGUGUGGGGUGUGUGUGAGUGUGCCCUGCGAUGUGACAGUGUCCUGUUCAGGGCUGGUUCUUACUUUAAGCCCUGAGCUGCUGGAAUGAGCUACAGCAACCGGAGACUGGAGACUCCGGCAACCUAGAGAACUGUUAUUAUUGACGUCAGCCCAAGAAGAAUGCAAUGUCCAGGAAGCUACCAAAGGAAUAAAACUACAUGAGCACAUACUUCUCUUCCAAUUCAAGAGUGGCCCGCCUUAUCCCUUCACAGGCUGACUUCCCAUCUUACUGUGGCAGCCUCUGCUGCUGUUACCUGCUUGAGGCUUUCUUAUUGUGGGCCUCCCACUCGUGUUUCCGAUUGAGGAAGCCUUCCAUCUGGGCCGAAGGUGUCUCCUGGGUUCUGGCUGGGACAGCGGAGAGGCCAUUCAGCUAACUCCGUGAGCCAUGGGGGUGACCACAUACGCUCUACCUGACUCGCACAUGUGGCUGUGUAUAAAUGCCUGGCACAGAUCGAGGCAGUACAGUAAAACCAUUGCACACCCACAAAGCCAGCUGGACAUCAAGGACAUUAGAAGGAAACCAUCUCUGUCACCAGCUUUUAUUUCUAAGGAAAAGGAUUUUUGUGAAAACAUUUUCAAUUCCUGCUGGUGGCCUGAUAGAUACCAUCCUAAAAGCUUCCUUUAUCAGAGAAUUCCACAAAAAGUCUUGAGAAAAUGAACAAUGAAUCAGAAGAUUAAUCCAAGAUGUACAGUGGAGUUUGUCUACAGAGACACUGACAUGACUUCUGAAGCCAGG
Molecule: long non-coding RNA, 854 nt
Organism: Homo sapiens (human)
Lineage: Eukaryota; Metazoa; Chordata; Mammalia; Primates; Hominidae
Gene: SPTBN1-AS2
Product: SPTBN1 antisense RNA 2
Source: Ensembl